RNAcentral lists this transfer RNA (83 nucleotides) under Ameiurus melas (black bullhead). It matches the Rfam family "tRNA". Rfam says of the family: Transfer RNA (tRNA) molecules are approximately 80 nucleotides in length. The record is from Rfam by way of RNAcentral. Lineage: Eukaryota; Metazoa; Chordata; Actinopteri; Siluriformes; Ictaluridae.
GUCAGGAUGGCCGGGCGGUCUAAGCGCCUAGCUUCAGGUCGCAGUCUCCCCUGGAGGCGUGGGUUCAAAUCCCAUUUCUGACA